CCUACGGGAGGCAGCAGUGGGGAAUAUUGCGCAAUGGGGGCAACCCUGACGCAGCAACGCCGCGUGAGUGAAGAAGGCCUUCGGGUUGUAAAGAUCUUUAAUCGGGGACGAAUUUUGACGGUACCCGAAGAAUAAGCUCCGGCUAACUACGUGCCAGCAGCCGCGGUAAUACGUAGGGAGCAAGCGUUAUCCGGAUUUACUGGGUGUAACGGGCGUGUAGGCGGGCAUGCAAGCCAGAAGUGAAAUCUUGGGGCUUAACCCCCAAAUUGCUUUUGGUACUGCGUGUCUUGAGUGAUGGAGAGGCAGGCGGAAUUCCCAGUGUAGCGGUGAAAUGCGUAGAUAUUGGGAGGAACUCCAGUGGCGAAGGCGGCCUGCUGGACAUUAACUGACGCUGAGGCGCGAAAGCGUGGGGAGCAAACAGGAUUAGAUACCCUAGUAGUC
Molecule: ribosomal RNA, 441 nt
Filed under: uncultured bacterium
Lineage: Bacteria
Description: partial 16S ribosomal RNA
Rfam family: Bacterial small subunit ribosomal RNA
Source: RNAcentral